Molecule: ribosomal RNA, 439 nt
Filed under: uncultured bacterium
Lineage: Bacteria
Description: partial 16S ribosomal RNA
Rfam family: Bacterial small subunit ribosomal RNA
Source: RNAcentral
CUACGGGGUGCAGCAGUGGGGAAUAUUGCACAAUGGAGGAAACUCUGAUGCAGCAACGCCGCGUGGAGGAUGACACUUUUCGGAGCGUAAACUCCUUUUAUAUAGGAAGAUAAUGACGGUACUAUAUGAAUAAGCACCGGCUAACUCCGUGCCAGCAGCCGCGGUAAUACGGAGGGUGCAAGCGUUACUCGGAAUCACUGGGCGUAAAGAGCGUGUAGGCGGGUUAAUAAGUCAGAAGUGAAAUCCUAUGGCUCAACCAUAGAACUGCUUUUGAAACUGUUAACCUAGAGUGUGGGAGAGGGAGAUGGAAUUUCUGGUGUAGGGGUAAAAUCCGUAGAGAUCAGAAGGAAUACCGAUUGCGAAGGCGAUCUACUGGAACAUAACUGACGCUGAGACGCGAAAGCGUGGGGAGCAAACAGGAUUAGAUACCCUAGUAGUC